CAGUAGCCGCGGUAAUACGUAGGUGGCGAGCGUUGUCCGGAAUCAUUGGGCGUAAAGGGAGCGCAGGCGGGCAUAUAAGUCUUUCUUAAAAGUUCGGGGCUCAACCCCGUGAUGGGAAAGAAACUAUAUGUCUUGAGUACAGGAGAGGAAAGCGGAAUUCCCAGUGUAGCGGUGAAAUGCGUAGAUAUUGGGAGGAACACCAGUGGCGAAGGCGGCUUUCUGGACUGCAACUGACGCUGAGGCUCGAAAGCCAGGGGAGCGAACGGGAUUAGAUACCCCAGUAGUCCCUGUCUCUUAUACA
Molecule: ribosomal RNA, 301 nt
Filed under: uncultured bacterium
Lineage: Bacteria
Description: partial 16S ribosomal RNA
Rfam family: Bacterial small subunit ribosomal RNA
Source: RNAcentral